AUUGAACGCUGGCGGCAGGCCUAACACAUGCAAGUCGAGCGAGCGGCGGACGGGUGAGUAAUGUCUGGGAAACUGCCUGAUGGAGGGGGAUAACUACUGGAAACGGUAGCUAAUACCGCAUACCAUCAGAUGUGCCCAGGUGGGAUUAGCUAGUAGGUGGGGUAACGGCUCACCUAGGCGACGAUCCCUAGCUGGUCUGAGAGGAUGACCAGCCACACUGGAACGGAGACACGGUCCAGACUCCAACGGGAGGCAGCAGUGGGGAAUAUUGCACAAUGGGCGCAAGCCUGAUGCAGCCAUGCCGAGUGUGUGAAGAAGGCCGUCGGGUUGUAAAGCACUUUCAGCGGGGAGGCGUUACCCGCAGAAGAAGCACCGGCUAACUACGUGCCAGCAGCCGCGGUAAUUC
RNAcentral lists this ribosomal RNA (406 nucleotides) under uncultured bacterium. Its description in RNAcentral is "partial 16S ribosomal RNA". It matches the Rfam family "Bacterial small subunit ribosomal RNA", at positions 29 to 526 of the family's 1533-position model. The record is from RNAcentral.